This 478-nucleotide ribosomal RNA is filed under the name uncultured bacterium. Its description in RNAcentral is "partial 16S ribosomal RNA". It matches the Rfam family "Bacterial small subunit ribosomal RNA", at positions 28 to 507 of the family's 1533-position model. The record is from RNAcentral.
GAUGAACGCUGGCGGCGUGCUUAACACAUGCAAGUCGAACGAGAAGUGAAGACGGAAACCUUCGGGCGGAAGGCUUUAUUUCGAGUGGCGGACGGGUGAGUAACGCGUGGGUAACCUGCCUCAUACAGGGGGAUAACAGUUGGAAACGACUGUUAAUACCGCAUAAGACCACAGCACCGCAUGGUGCGGGGGUAAAAACUCCGGUGGUAUGAGAUGGACCCGCGUUCGAUUAGCCAGUUGGCGGGGUAACGGCCCACCACAGCGACGAUCGAUAGCCGAUCUGAGAGGAUGACCGGCCACAUUGGGACUGAGACACGGCCCAAACUCCUACGGGAGGCAGCAGUGGGGAAUAUUGCACAAUGGGGGAAACCCUGAUGCAGCGACGCCGCGUGAGUGAAGAAGUAUUUCGGUAUGUAAAGCUCUAUCAGCAGGGAAGAAAAUGACGGUACCUGAGUAAGAAGCCCCGGCUAACUACGUG